CAGCCGCCACGGUAAUACGAAGGUCCCGAGCGUUGUUCGGAAUCACUGGGCGUAAAGGGAGCGUAGGCGGCGUGGUAAGUCAGAUGUGAAAUCCCGGGGCUCAACCCCGGAACUGCAUCCGAUACUGCCAUGCUAGAGGAUUGGAGAGGUAGCUGGAAUUCUUGGUGUAGCAGUGAAAUGCGUGGAGAUCAAGAGGAACACUCGUGGCGAAAGCGAGCUACUGGACAAUAACUGACGCUGAGGCUCGAAGGCCAGGGUAGCGAAAGGGAUUAGAUACCCGGGUAGUCCCUGUCUCUUAUAC
This 301-nucleotide ribosomal RNA is filed under the name uncultured bacterium. RNAcentral describes it as "partial 16S ribosomal RNA". It matches the Rfam family "Bacterial small subunit ribosomal RNA", at positions 509 to 807 of the family's 1533-position model. The record is from RNAcentral.